Molecule: long non-coding RNA, 252 nt
Organism: Nerophis lumbriciformis (worm pipefish)
Lineage: Eukaryota; Metazoa; Chordata; Actinopteri; Syngnathiformes; Syngnathidae
Source: RefSeq, a predicted model, not a curated record
AUUAGGACUAUUCAAGUUGAGCUCCAAACACCAUUCUUGUUUGGGACAUUGUUGAGUAUGUUGAUGAUUGUCUCCGUGCUGAGGUCGAGUACGGAUGUACUUUAUGGACGACAUCCGCUCCACAUUCCUUGUUGCCGUGAGGCCCGAGGUGAGGACACUCUGAAGGACGAAUGAAGAUAAAGAAUAGGAUCGACAGACUUGCUGGUUCCUACCAAGACAGAGGUGGCGCGUGCGCAGGAAGCUGAGAGUGAC